CAGCAGCCACGGUAAUACGAAGGGUGCAAGCGUUAAUCGGAAUUACUGGGCGUAAAGCGUGCGUAGGCGGUGAGUUAAGUCUGCUGUGAAAUCCCCGGGCUCAACCUGGGAAUUGCAGUGGAUACUGGGUCACUAGAGUGUGGUAGAGGAUAGUGGAAUUUCCGGUGUAGCAGUGAAAUGCGUAGAGAUCGGAAGGAACAUCUGUGGCGAAGGCGACUAUCUGGGCCAACACUGACACUGAGGCACGAAAGCGUGGGGAGCAAACAGGAUUAGAUACCCCAGUAGUCCCUGUCUCUUAUAA
This 301-nucleotide ribosomal RNA is filed under the name uncultured bacterium. Its description in RNAcentral is "partial 16S ribosomal RNA". It matches the Rfam family "Bacterial small subunit ribosomal RNA", at positions 509 to 809 of the family's 1533-position model. The record is from RNAcentral.